RNAcentral lists this ribosomal RNA (497 nucleotides) under uncultured bacterium. Its description in RNAcentral is "partial 16S ribosomal RNA". It matches the Rfam family "Bacterial small subunit ribosomal RNA", at positions 28 to 507 of the family's 1533-position model. The record is from RNAcentral.
GAUGAACGCUGGCGGUGUGCCUAAUACAUGCAAGUCGAGCGAACAGAUAAUGUUCUUGCUCCUUUGACGUUAGCGGCGGACGGGUGAGUAACACGUGGGUAACCUACCUAUAAGACUGGGAUAACUUCGCGAAACCGGGGCUAAUACCUGAUAAUAUUUCUCACCGCUUGGUUCGAUAGUUAAAGAUGGUUUUGCUAUCACUUAUAGAUGGACCCGCGCCGUAUUAGCUAUUUGGGAAGGUAACGUCUUACCAAGGCGACGAUACGUAGCCGACCUGAGAGGGUGAGCGGACACACUGGAACUGAGACACGGUACAGACUACUACGGGAGGCAGCAGAAGGGAAUCUAACGCAAGGGGAGAAAGCAUGACGGAGAAAAGCCAAGUGAGGGAUAAAGGUAUUGGGAUAGUAAAACUCUGUUAUUAGGGAAGAACAAACGUGUAAGUAACGGGGCACGCCUUGAAGGUACCUAAUCAGAAAGCAACGGCUAACUACGUG